GUGCAAGUGUGGUGUUUUCAUUUCAACAUUUUUAUAGGUGAAAAUAUUUUCCAGAACCGUGACGACCAAAACGAGUUUGAAAGAGACAAAAAUCGCCGCGACAUUACGCCUCCCCGCGUCCAGCCCUGCUCCCCUUUGGCGCUCAGCGCUGUCACUGAGAAGAUCAAGAGCGACGAACUGUUCGUCGACGCUGCUCCUACCUUGGCAGCUUGGUUGGAACGCGGUGAAUGCAACAAAAAGAACGCCAAUGUUUUUUACUCGUUAAUC
This is a long non-coding RNA of Hyposmocoma kahamanoa, 267 nucleotides long. RefSeq lists it as uncharacterized. The transcript is spliced from 2 exons. The record is from RefSeq and is a predicted model, not a curated record. NCBI's taxonomy places the organism in Eukaryota, Metazoa, Arthropoda, Insecta, Lepidoptera, Cosmopterigidae.